GGGGCCACGGGCGCAGCAGUGGGGAAUUUUGGACAAUGGGCGCAAGCCUGAUCCAGCUAUUCCGCGUGUGGGAUGACGGCCCUCGGGUUGUAAACCACUUUAGUAGAGAACGAAAAGGAGCUAUCGAAUAAAUAGCUCUGCUGACGGUACUCUAAGAAUAAGCACCGGCUAACUACGUGCCAGCAGCCGCGGUAAUACGUAGGGUGCGAGCGUUAAUCGGAAUUACUGGGCGUAAAGGGUGUGCAGGCGGCUGAGUAAGACAGAUGUGAAAUCCCCGGACUUAACCUGGGAACAGCAUAUGUGAC
RNAcentral lists this ribosomal RNA (305 nucleotides) under uncultured bacterium. RNAcentral's name for it is "bacterial SSU rRNA". It matches the Rfam family "Bacterial small subunit ribosomal RNA", at positions 333 to 633 of the family's 1533-position model. The record is from RNAcentral.